This 475-nucleotide ribosomal RNA is filed under the name uncultured bacterium. RNAcentral's name for it is "bacterial SSU rRNA". It matches the Rfam family "Bacterial small subunit ribosomal RNA", at positions 246 to 718 of the family's 1533-position model. The record is from RNAcentral.
UUGUUGGCGGGGUAACGGCCCACCAAGACAUCGAUGGAUAGGGGUUCUGAGAGGAAGGUCCCCCACAUUGGAACUGAGACACGGUCCAAACUCCUACGGGAGGCAGCAGUGAGGAAUAUUGGUCAAUGGACGAGAGUCUGAACCAGCCAAGUAGCGUGAAGGAUGACUGCCCUAUGGGUUGUAAACUUCUUUUAUAUGGGAAUAAAGUGAGCCACGUGUGGCUUUUUGUAUGUACCAUACGAAUAAGGAUCGGCUAACUCCGUGCCAGCAGCCGCGGUAAUACGGAGGAUCCGAGCGUUAUCCGGAUUUAUUGGGUUUAAAGGGAGCGUAGGCGGACUAUUAAGUCAGCUGUGAAAGUUUGCGGCUCAACCGUAAAAUUGCAGUUGAUACUGGUCGUCUUGAGUGCAACAGAGGUAGGCGGAAUUCGUGGUGUAGCGGUGAAAUGCUUAGAUAUCACGAAGAACUCCGAUUGCGA